This is a long non-coding RNA of Suricata suricatta (meerkat), 1706 nucleotides long. RefSeq lists it as uncharacterized. The record is from RefSeq and is a predicted model, not a curated record. NCBI's taxonomy places the organism in Eukaryota, Metazoa, Chordata, Mammalia, Carnivora, Herpestidae. The transcript has 8 exons.
UGGCUGUCACGUAUCCCGUGAUGUGCUGCCCCACAAUUUUCCGCCCACCCCCCUGGAGAGAAUGAGCUGCGAGGCUCCGCCUGCCUGGACCAGAGGGACCCAGCUGAGACUCCUGGGAAGCAGUCACAAGGGGAGCUGCCGGGUCACAGGGCACCUAGUAUUUCACUUGAUGAAGCACGGCCACUCCGAGUCCCCAGUGCACCAGCCUAGCCUAUGCCCACCACGCCAAGGGCCCCGGUGUCCCCACAUCCCCACCAGCGCUGGGCUUUAUCCAGCUUUCCCACUGUAGCCCAUCCAUCAGGAAGAAGUGAUGUCUUGUGAUUUUCAGCACCUUUUCUCAUGUACUAAUCCUUUGCGGGUUGUGACAUGGCCAGCAUCCGCCGUCACUGUCAUCUUCAGGCACUUUGAAACCUAACCCCUCUCCCUCCUGCCAGCCGACGGCUCCUUUCUGAGUGGAUGGCACAGGUUUGCCCUCAGAGCCUUUUGGACUUCCCUUGCAACAGCUCCUAUGAGUCCAGCCGGUCCUGUGCGUCAGGCUCUAUGCUUGGCGUUUUACUUCACUUACUUCCUACAAGUCUGUGAGCCAGGAGCCUUCUCCUAGACAGCAAGCUUGUCUCCCGCAUGGGGACUCCAGCUGGUGGAAGGGCCCUCAGUGGGUGCGUGAAGCGGGCGCUGGGCCGGAAACACAGCUACACAGGCUGUGUCCCGAGGCCACCGGUCUCCCAGCUGCAAAGUCAUGGCCCCUCAGUCUCAGCUCAGUCUCAGCUGCUGUCAGUGAGUGGGACCAACACCACCCGGGAUGGUUGCCUGGGGUCUGAAAGGAAUACCAGGGUGUGAAAACUGUGUUGAGACAGAAGGCUACCCCCACAACUGCAAGGUCAUGAGGGCUGGACCAGAUGCCUUUUGAGGUGAUUUUCCACUGCAGGGCCAGGGCAGGGUCUGUGCUGAGGCCUCCUUGAUCAUCCCGCCCAUCUGGCAGGUACAAGUGUCAGAACUCCCUCAGAUGGAGUGAGGAGUGGUUGUCUAGAGGUUCUCUGGGUCCUGAAAGAGAGGUGCGAAGUGGAGGGGAAGUGCUGGAAAGAAUGUCUCCCUCUCCCACCAGACAGACCUCUUGCCUUUUUGGAGGCCGGCACUGGUAUGGGGCCUGCAGCUACAGGAAUGGCCACCAGGUGUCACCCUCAGCUCAUGCUUGAAGUGAAGGCAGCCCAGAAAGAGGAAAAGGAGCCUGCUGGAGAAAGGGAAGAGCACCCCCACUACCACAGCUCCCCCCUUCCCCGGGAGUGGGUGAACUUGGAGAGGGCCCGGCAUAGUGGGAUGGUUGUUAACUUCUGCAGGAAGGUGUUGUGCAAAGCCUCAUUCAUCUGCCUUCAGAAUUGUCCUUCGAUGCUGCCAGCAAAUCCCAAUUCAACAGAGAGUCCUAGGAUAGGAAACCCGCGCCAGGUUUCCCACUGGGUUUGGAGUGGAUGUGGCUGGUGGCCCCGCUGUCUGGCUAGAGAGGAACUCAGGGGCAGAUUUUGUUCAUUCAACACACCGGCCCUGCUUCCCAGCCCCCUGCUGGGCUCUUUCCUGACCACUUCUCAAAGACAGAUACUAAGAGGAAACAGACCAGCCAUCCGACACCUGCAGCCACCCCGCUCAAAGUAUAGACCAGUGGUCUCCAAAGAGUUUUGGGCCAUGCUCCCUAACAAUAAAAAACAUUACUGAGA